RNAcentral lists this transfer RNA (73 nucleotides) under bacterium 336/3. It matches the Rfam family "tRNA". From Rfam's summary of the family: Transfer RNA (tRNA) molecules are approximately 80 nucleotides in length. Their secondary structure includes four short double-helical elements and three loops (D, anti-codon, and T loops). The record is from Rfam by way of RNAcentral. Lineage: Bacteria; Pseudomonadati.
GCGAAAGUAGCCGAGAUGGUCAAGGCACUAGACUGAAAAUCUAGCCAUAUAGGUUCGAGUCCUGUCUUUCGCA